AUCCAGUGAAGAGUCCCAGAUAGGACGAAAUGCGCUUUAUCCUGGAU
Molecule: non-coding RNA, 47 nt
Filed under: Trichobilharzia regenti
Lineage: Eukaryota; Metazoa; Platyhelminthes; Trematoda; Strigeidida; Schistosomatidae
Source: RNAcentral